GCCUCAGGGGGGGACUGGCAGUGGCUCCCAGGCCAGACAGAUCCCCAUGUACUAAUGAGAAGUGAAUGAAUUGAAAAAAGGGAGGGAGGGUGAGGCACAAAAACGAGAACAAACAGCUUGCAGUGCGGAGAUCAUAUAUGGACAGAGAACUGGAAGGGGCAUGUAUGAGGUGUGGGCUCCUGAAAGUCAGAUAAAUUAUCUCCAACUCGUGAAGGAAUUUCUGUUUUACAUCUGAGAGGUUGUUGUUUGACUCUGAAUAAACAGAUUGCAUGCAAUUGCUACUUUGACCCCAGUCUGAUGACAGACGGACUCUGUUUUAUUGCUGGCUUGAUGUACCAAGAUGGCAACUGAUUACAAUUGAUCACUUUGGAAUCUGGACUUCCUGGAAAAGGAGGAACGCUGGUUUGAGCUGGGAGUCAAGGAGGCCAUUUACAUGAAAAGGACCAUCUUUGACCAUCUUUGAACCAAGGAGGUGACCUAGAGGUGCUGCUCCGGUGCUUGAUGUUGCAGGCAGCAGCUCCCACCUCUAGGGAGAAGAAUAGUCUGCGAUGCGUUGGUGUAAGUGCUGCACCAGAACAGGAUCGGAAAGUCAGAAAUGUAAGAUCAAAGGUAAAAAGGGACAGAAGAUUAAAGAGGGCAAUAAGGCUGGCUGCAGCUGAAAUGAAUGGCUUUUAGCAUUGCUUUAUGCCGCUGCGAGGAAACAUUAUCAACUUUUUGCUUCCGUGUCUAUCAUCCAGCAGCAAAGGUGUGAAGGCAACUGUCAUCUUUUCUUUUCUUUUUUUUUCUUGCAAAACACCAUUAAGAGUUCUACUUUGUGCAUCAAUCUGAGAAGCCAAAGUGGGCGCAAAGUGUCUUCAUCCCCCCUGGCAAACACAAUUAUGUCUGAGUAUGAUUACAGAUCUGAUUAAACUGCAACUCUUUGUGGAUAAAUGGGCAACGCUGAUUACGAUCAACCUUUUAUCGCUUCAAAAUGGGUUGCCCUCAAGGUCCAAGUUGAGAGAGUUUCGGCUUUACAAAUUUCCCAAAUGAAGGAAACGUACUUGAGAGGUGUUCCCUGUCAAUGUGUGAAUGCGGGGUAGGGAUGCAAAUGGUUUUGUAAGAAUUUCAUUAGGCUGGUAUUAUUCAUCACUUUCUCAAAUGUAUCCUUGCUCAAAGUCAUUUUGCCAUAUUCCCUCAACAUAACUGAGAGUGCUUUAUUGUAUUACAAUCAGUACCAUCAGAGGGUUCACUGAGUGGAGUGGGUUGGGAAGUUAAAAAAAAACAACCCUUUUUAAAGGUUGAUUAAAUCAUUCAAUGAAGAACUGAUUAAACUGUCGGGAGUGUGGCGAAAUAGAGAGCAAGAAAAAGAGAGAGGUGAAUGCCAAAAUUCAUUUAUUUACCCCUAGGGUCAUUAAUUCUAUUUUCUCCCUCUGUAUGCACGACUGAUCCAACUAAACAGUGGCUUAAACAAGUGGCAAGACAAAACAAGGCAAUGGGCUCUGGAUGCUAAAUGGAAACUAAAUGAAAUUAAGUUAAAGGGGCAAACAAGCUAUGGUAAUUCAUACAUUCUCUCACUGUUAUUAAAAAGUGCUAAAAAAUGAGUUGAGUUUUAAUAAGUUAAAAAAAGUACCUCAGUACCUCACACUUGAUGAUUUAACAUACCAUAUAUGGUGACAGGUGAUGGAUUUCCAGUGACUCAGAGGUUGUAAACUGAAUGCUGUCCUGCCUACUCUAUUUCAAUUAACGCCUAACCGAAUGCCCAGCUGAUUGCUUUGCUGCGUCUUUUUUGUGCAGCUUCCAAUUUCGUUCUUUGUUAGAAUUAAUCAGCGCAAAGUACGUUUUGAUUUGUCAUGACCUAUGGCACGCACGGAACGGAAAAACAGACGUUGCCACGGCAGAAAAAUUGGGACCAAUCUCCGUUUCACUCAUUUGUCGAUACUUAUGCAGCACCGACUCAAUUUUCUUUUCUGUGACUUGAUUACAGAGAACGGUGGCAUGAGUUAACAGACUUCGAAAGAAGGCUUGAUACAGAUGACAGAACAUUGCCAUUUCGGGAGGCAGAGAGGUGUAAAAAGAUCGAGUGGAUGAACCCUUGGCAAUGUAGACAUAAAGUCCCUGACCUGGAGAUUUUAAAAUAAAGUCUGUCUUUUGUGAGUUUCCAGAGAUACAGAAAGGCUAGACAAAAUAUUCAUCAUCCAACGCUUUGGUGGGUGCCCUCGGUAUCGUUUACCAGGCACAUAGCCAAAAUGUGCUAUGUUUAGAAGGCAGUCUGGGGGUAUAUGAGAUACAUGGCCCAACCAUUCUGCCUGUUGUGCUCUGAUUUUGUGUAGCAGAUGCAUGUUGAUGGUGCUUCAGAGAUGUGCCAAGACCUCUGAACACUGGACAGCAUGUGUGUUUUUUUUCUGCCCAUUGCUGGUCCGCAACACAACAGUAAACACUGCAGUUAUUACAGAUUAUUACAGUCUUCGUGGCCCUGUAACUGAUCAAUUAUGGGGUACAAUGAGCAGCUUUGGAAUAUUCUAUGUAUUGCACGACAGCGGUAAAUGACAUCCGCCGACAAGGUGCCGGUUCCAGUGCCUUCUUUUCACCAACAAAACAAUUUGCCAGAAAGCUGGCAACAGAGUGGGUCCUCAAAUGGCUUGUAAAAUUGGUGAUGCUGAUGCCAGUGACUAAGGAAGGGGCUCUACAAACUAAAAAGAGGCUUCAUGAUUCAAGGGCUAUUGUGAAUCAUUUAUGUUUCCUAUGCUACUGUUAAAAAAAAAAAAAAAAAGAAGGUAAAAUUCAUUGGUUUAACCCUGACAUGCUCUUAAUAUUUCAUGUCUUGACAAUGAUCUGGGUGGAUUUUUAUUCAGACCAACAAUUUCCUCAUAAUAAGUCUUUAAAUUUAAUAUUGAACUAUGGAUCCAUUUAGGAUACAUCACUAACCCAUUGGACACAAAUGAAUGGAUGAUUAUGUUCAUAAGAAGAGCAAGAAUAUGUAUUUUUUAGGCUUUACAACACCGAGUUUUAGAGAAAACAUCUGUUAUAGCAUGAUAUUGUGUUCUGUUUGACCAUAUGAAUCUCAGAACAAAUCUAUGUUAGGUUUUUCUGUGGUACAGGAUGACUUCAUCAAAUUGAGUGGCCAAUGGAUGUGGCCAUGAACCAUAAAAUCUUGGAUUAGAACUUCCUUCCUUCAGCCAAAGCACUGAAGAUGGGUCAUAGAUGGUUCUUCCACUGAGGCAAUAAACGAGUGGCUAAAGAAAAAGCAUUAAAAUGAUUGAAUGACCUAGCCAGUCUCCAGACUUCAGUCCUACAGAAAAUCAGUGUAGGAAGCUGAAACUUUGAGUUGCCAAGCAGCAACCAAGAAACCUAAAGGAUAUUGAGGGUUCCUAUAAAGAGGAGGGGGCUAAAAUGCCACCUGAGAUAUGUGCAAAUCUGGUGACCAACUACAAGAAACAUCUAUCUGCUGCUCUUGCUAAGAAAUACCAAGUCAUGUUUUGCUUGGGGAUAUUUCACUAUGCAUAUUUCACUCAUUGACAUGCAAAUCAGUUCAUAACAUUUAUGUAAUGUUUUUUCUGGAGUUUUUGUUUAUUUUCUGUUUUUUUUCCCUAUUAAA
Long non-coding RNA from Oreochromis niloticus (Nile tilapia), 3574 nucleotides. RefSeq lists it as uncharacterized. Lineage: Eukaryota; Metazoa; Chordata; Actinopteri; Cichliformes; Cichlidae. The record is from RefSeq and is a predicted model, not a curated record. The transcript is spliced from 5 exons.